AGUGAAUAGAUACCCUGGUAGUCCAUGCCGUAAACGAUGUGCACUAGGGAGAGGAUGGGUCCUAAACUCAUUCCCUCCCCAAAGCAAAAGCGUUAAGUGCACCGCCUGGGGAGUAUGCUCGCAAGGGUAAAACUCAAAGGAAUUGACGGGGGCUCACACAAGCGGUGGAGCAUGUGGUUCAAUUCGAAGCAACGCGAAGAACCUUACCAGGCCUAGACAUCAGGAUGUAACCGGCAGAAACGUCGGCCAACUCGCAAGAGAAAUCCUGUGCAGGUGUUGCAUGGCUGUCGUCAGCUCGUGUCGUGAGAUGUCGGGUUAAGUCCCAUAACGAGCGAAACCCCUGCCGUUAGUUGCUAACAGGUCAUGCUGAGCACUCUAGCGGGACUGCCUCGUAAGACGGAGGAAGGUGGGGACGACGUCAAGUCAUCAUGGCCCUUACGGCCUGGGCUACACACGUGCUACAAUGGGUGGUACAAAGAGAUCCGAAACGGCGACGUCAAGGAAA
RNAcentral lists this ribosomal RNA (505 nucleotides) under uncultured bacterium. RNAcentral describes it as "bacterial SSU rRNA". It matches the Rfam family "Bacterial small subunit ribosomal RNA", at positions 774 to 1271 of the family's 1533-position model. The record is from RNAcentral.